UUCCGGUUGAUCCUGCCGGAGGCUACCGCUAUUGGAGUUCGAUUAAGCCAUGCGAGUCGCGAGUCUUAGGGACUCGGCGUACCGCUCAGUAACACGUGGGUAACCUGCCCUAUGCUGGGGGAUAACCUCGGGAAACUGAGAAUAAUACCCCAUAGUUCACCACGCCUGGAACGGUGGGUGGACCAAAGCUCCGGCGGCAUAGGAUGGGCCUGCGGCGUAUCAGGUUGUAGGGGGUGUAAUGUACCCUCUAGCCAUCUACGCGUACGGGUGUUGGGAGACAUCGCCCGGAGAUGGAUUCUGAGACACGAAUCCAGACCCUACGGGGUGCAGCAGGCGCGAAAACUUGGCAAUGCGAGCAAUCGUGACCAGGGAACUCCAAGUGCAUCGGGUAAGACCGAUGCUUUUCUUGACUCUUCAAAGGUCUUGGAAUAAGGGGUGGGUAAGGACGGUGCCAGCCGCCGCGGUAAUACCGGCGCCUCAAGUGGUAGUCGCUUUUAUUGGGCCUAAAACGUCCGUAGCCGGUUUGGUACAUUCGUGGGUAAAUCAAGGCGCUCAACGUCUUGAAUUCUGCGAGCACGGCCAGACUUGGGACCGGGUGAGGUGUGGGGUACUCUCAGGGUAGGGGUAAAAUCCUGUCAUCCUGAGAGGACCACCUGUUGCGAAGGCGCCACACUAGAACGGAUCCGACGGUCAGGGACGAAGCCUAGGGGCACGAACCGGAUUAGAUACCCGGGUAGUCCUAGGUGUAAACGCUGUGGACUUGAUGUUGGGAGUGCUCCGAGCACCCUCAGUGUCGAAGCGAAGGUGAUAAGUCCACUGCCUGGGGAGUACGGUCGCAAGGCUGAAACUUAAAGGAAUUGGCGGGGGAGCACCACAAGGGGUGAAGCCUGCGGUUCAAUUGGAGUCAACGCCGG
RNAcentral lists this ribosomal RNA (914 nucleotides) under uncultured marine archaeon. RNAcentral describes it as "bacterial SSU rRNA". It matches the Rfam family "Archaeal small subunit ribosomal RNA", at positions 1 to 921 of the family's 1478-position model. The record is from RNAcentral.